AUUGAACGCUGGCGGCAGGCCUAACACAUGCAAGUCGAGCGGAUGAAGGGAGCUUGCUCCUGGAUUCAGCGGCGGACGGGUGAGUAAUGCCUAGGAAUCUGCCUGGUAGUGGGGGAUAACGUCCGGAAACGGGCGCUAAUACCGCAUACGUCCUGAGGGAGAAAGAGGGGGAUCUUCGGACCUCAAGCUAUCAGAUGAGCCUAGGUCGGAUUAGCUAGUUGGUGGGGUAAAGGCCUACCAAGGCGACGAUCCGUAACUGGUCUGAGAGGAUGAUCAGUCACACUGGAACUGAGACACGGUCCAGACUCCUACGGGAGGCAGCAGUGGGGAAUAUUGGACAAUGGGCGAAAGCCUGAUCCAGCCAUGCCGCGUGUGUGAAGAAGGUCUUCGGAUUGUAAAGCACGUUAAGUUGGGAGGAAGGGCAGUAAGUUAAUACCUUGCUGUUUUGACGUUACCAACAGAAUAAGCACCGGCUAACUUCGUG
Molecule: ribosomal RNA, 484 nt
Filed under: uncultured bacterium
Lineage: Bacteria
Description: partial 16S ribosomal RNA
Rfam family: Bacterial small subunit ribosomal RNA
Source: RNAcentral